Caretta caretta (loggerhead turtle) is the source of this 1164-nucleotide long non-coding RNA. RefSeq lists it as uncharacterized. The record is from RefSeq and is a predicted model, not a curated record. Lineage: Eukaryota; Metazoa; Chordata; Testudines; Cheloniidae.
GACGGCAGUCAGGCACUGACUGUUGAGCUUGACAGAACUGCUGCGGUUUGAGAAGCCCCCACAAACAAAUGCUGCAUUGGCUAGACACGUCAUCAGAAUGCGUAACAAUGGCAACUGACCCCUUUGUAUUCUUGGGAAAAACACCCCAGGCAAAAGGUACAGUCAGUAACGGAAGUGACCAAUGCCAUUCAGUCCAAACAGUCAUAGCUAGCUGUUUUCAAUUGGGAACUUUCCCACAUGCAUGCUAUAAAGAAGGAAGCAUGACUGACACUAGAUGGUCCCAGCUAUUCAUCACUGUGCCCCAAAAGAGAGAAGCAAAACAUUAAGAAGGCAGAAACCCCCCAGGAUUCUAUUCGGAGAGCACAAGCAUUCUCUGAUGGCAGCCCAGUCCAGUCUUGGCAAUAACGUGCAUUAGCUAAAUUUUUGCAAUACUUUACAAUGGGGAUAAUGCCUCCCCACCUUUUUCCAACAGCAGAACGCAAGCAUUCUAGGUUCUGGAACUGAUGGGGGCCUUAACCAUAUUCGUCUGUUCUUAGUGUCAACAGUGGGAUUCUUUAGAAAAGAAGCAAUGCAUCUGUAAUCUAGAGCACACCUCUACCUGAAUAGAAACAUUUUGAACGCAGCUCAGGUUGAGAGCCCUUUAAAUUAUCAAGCGACUGAACAGACUGGACAUCUCAUUGAAAAGAGGCGGAAUCGGUGUAAUUUCCAAAUGAGUGAGUAGUCUCUUUGGAUGGGGCUUGUCAUCCUCUGAACCCUUUCCUGAUGUACGUACCGGAGGCCCAGGGAGUCCUCGUGGGCCUGGUGGACCCUAAAGAGAAAAGCAUCAGUGAGUAAAAUGUCAGCAGUGAAAUUAUUCAUCCUUGUAUCCCAGAAAAAGCUCAGGGUUUGGCCCACAGACUGUCCUGAGAAAAAUCAGACAACGGGAACAAGGAAGUUCUACAAUAAAGUUCAAAGAACUCACCAUGAGACCUGGUGGUCCCCGUGGGCCCUGAAUUCCUUUGAACCCCAGGUUCCCUGGUGGUCCCUGUAGAUAAAAAUCAGACAUGAAUCUUGAAAGACUCAACAGAUGCACACACAAAGUUUGUUUCUUUGCUUGCUGCUCUGGAAUAAAGACAGAUAUGCAACCAGUUGUAUGCAAGUCCUGAUUUUUUUAACCUGUGGGCC